Non-coding RNA from Cajanus cajan (pigeon pea), 2589 nucleotides. NCBI's taxonomy places the organism in Eukaryota, Viridiplantae, Streptophyta, Magnoliopsida, Fabales, Fabaceae. The record is from RefSeq and is a predicted model, not a curated record.
ACAACCCCUGCACGCAUUCCUUCCUUUUACACGAAACCCCCACAUUCCUUCCUUUUUACACGAAACUACACAAACCCAUUGAGAAUCCGCUAGCGAGACACAUAGCUUCUAGUCUUCCAUUUUCAAUAUUCAUUUGUGCAUUUGUUCAUAAAUCCAUUGAAGGUGAGUUUUGAAAUAUCUAAUUGCAUCGAGUUUACUCUAUUUUCAUUAAUUUCAUUUUGAAGAGAAACGCAAAACCUAGGAAAAAAUCUGCAAGGAAUCGAUCGUACUGUGAAAAGUGAUCGUUCGAUGCGAUCUGAGCUCAUAGAUUGGUCUGAAGCUUCCAUUUCGAGGAUUUCUUUUAAUCAUUCUUUUUCCUGGCUAUCAGGUUAGAUUGUGUUUUGUAAUGCUCGCUUUGUAAUUUUCUUAAUCAUGCAGAUUUGUACGAAGGAUACACAAGUAGGGUUCGUCUAUUCAUAUGGUGGUUGAAUUGUUAUGAAGCUUAGUGCAUAUAUAAAAAUGAAAACUAGAUAAGUUCAUCUGACUAAAUAAAAUAGGUUAGUUCCAACCAGCUAGGACGUUAGGUCAGUGGUUUAAAUCAAUCAAACAAAACCACUUUAUCAAUAUUUUGCUACCUAUUCUCAUUCAUUUCACUACCUAUCAAGUCUUCAAUUUUCUCAUAGGCCUUCCAUUUAUAUAAUUUAUGAGGGUGGGACAAAAUAAUAAAAAAUUAGGUGUGAAAAUAUGGUUUCUUUCUAUUAUCUACUUCAUAGCAGGAAUUCCUGGAGCAUAUGUCUUGUGGUAUCGCCCAUUAUAUCGUGCCUUUAGGUAAUUACUUCCCAGACUUAAUUGGCAUUUGGCUGUUUAAUUUUUGCCUACUAAUAUACAAUUGCAAACAUUCCUUUUAUAUAGUUCCAGUUGUAUGAGAUAAAAAAAUGUUCUUGGGAGACUGGGGCAUUAUGGGGGUUUAAAAGAGCAACCUUGAGGCUUUAAGAAAGUGGUAGAAUACUGACAAAUAUUGCACAUGAAGGGUUCACCAGAACAAUAAGCGUGCGUAUUAUAUCACUUGGCCUAUGGUCUAAUAUGUCUCUUCAUUGGGUUUGGCUAUUCUCCCUCCUCCCGGUUCAAUCCUGCCCAAUCUAACAAAAUAUGUAUGCAUAUUUUGAUCAUUCUAACGUGGUUACUCUCUUGAUUUUGAAUUUGUUCCAUUGUUGUUUUUGCAGGACAGAUAGUGCUUUGAAUUUUGGAUGGUUUUUCUUGUUUUACCUGAGGCAUUCUGUCGGCCAUAAAUGUGGUAGGUGACCAUGCAGUGAUUGGAGUAAGUAUGCCUGUCCUGAAGUAUUUAUUAUUCCUGGAUGCUAUUCAUUGUUUAACUGUCAUUUUUGUCGCAUGCCAAGCCAAUUUUGGAUUUGUCACACUGUUACGGUUCUAAGCAAAACCAACGAACAUGAGAAGCACUUGAACUUCGGAUUAAGUAAAUGGUGGGUACGGGGUUGAGUGAUAGGGAUGGAAACUUUAGAAGUUAGAAGGUUAUGAGAAAAAGUAAAACUAGACAAAAAAUUAUAUACACUAGACCUAUGAAUUCUAACCUGGAGCAACAGAACCACUUCUGAGAAAAUGUCACCCAUUGGAAGAAGUAGUUUGAUCACAUCGGUACUGAUAUUAAAGGGAAUGUUGGCAACCACCUGCAAACAACAUCCUAACUAGAGACUAAAGGGGAUAACAUAACGUGAAUUAUAGAUAUUUAGUAUGAAAACGUGGGAUUUGAGUUGUGGUUGUGAUGAAAUCAACAAAGUAUCAAUAAAAGGUAUAAUAUCACCAAAAAAAAACCACGAAGGAAAAACAUAAUGUCAAACCUCUUUACCUGAUCCCUUCCUCUGAAAAAUUUCUCUCUUUAACUCUCUUUAAGCUCUCCCUCUUUCAAUUAAUUCACCUUCAUGCUUCCUUUAUCUCUCUCUGUGCAAUAGUUAGGUGAAGCCCUUCUUAGAAUGAUUAGAGUGAUGAUUUCAAGAUUCAUCACACUCCUAAUAUUAUAGAUAAAGUUCCUUUACUAUCACAAUUCACUUCAACUAUGACCAACCACAAUGAAACCUUAAUAUACAUUUAAUAAAUCAAUUAUCAGCUGAGGGGGUUCUCAUCUUAUAUGAAAAGAAUCCAAGGUUUCAUAAUUCACCACAAGACAUCACAUAACAUGUGGUGACCUGUCACAGGGACCAACACUAGACUCUGUAUAACAGCUUUUGAAGAAGUGAGAUAGGUUUCAGAAACUAAACCCUGUUGACCCUUGUAACAGAUAAAAAAUUGCACCAGCAUGUUUCACAGCCUUUACUGAAAUUGUGAUAAUUUGAAUGUGUCAUCUCCUCUUCUUCUGGGACCAUGUUGGUCCAUAAAUUUCCAAGAGCGUCCGUCCAAACCGUCUGUCGGUUACCUGUAGUUUCAAACCACCACUAGACAGCUCAAUUUGGUGGGCAUAUCAUUAAAAUCCACAUGUAUAACAUAAAUUCAUAAAUAUAGGUCCUGCACCCCCAUCAGGCUAUAAGAAUUUCAAGAAAAUAUAAUGGUUGGAAAUUAGUGCAUACAUGGUGCAACAUAUUAUUUGUUAUGCAGACA